Molecule: long non-coding RNA, 437 nt
Organism: Chinchilla lanigera (long-tailed chinchilla)
Lineage: Eukaryota; Metazoa; Chordata; Mammalia; Rodentia; Chinchillidae
Exons: 2
Source: RefSeq, a predicted model, not a curated record
AUGUGCAGGGAUGCUGCUGAUUCAGUGCAGACCACAGGAAAAGGUGCAGCCUCAGAUCACAUGAGCCCUUCCCGAUCUGGUCCUUCCUGGCUCCUUGGGUCUUAUCUCCAUAUGGGGUGCAGGAUUGAUUCUGAUUCAGAAAGCAGCUGGACGUCGCUGUGAAGGCCACUUUGAAGACGAUGAGAAAGAGCAUUCUCUGGGACUGUGGAAGAGGAAGCGAAUCUGGUGGGAGGGAGCUCUGCAGGCUUUCUGUACAUAGGCCUUGGGCUCCUGGAUGAUACAGUGACUCUUGCCGUGUUACCCCCUACAACCACUACAGAGCUGGAAGGCGAUGAUGCAUACGGAAUCACAAUCCGUGUGCUCUGAUGACUGUCUUAUCUAAGCUCUGGCUGGGAACUUGAGAAUCUUGCCAUUAAACUCCUAUCUCAAAAUGCUCA